This 254-nucleotide ribosomal RNA is filed under the name uncultured bacterium. RNAcentral describes it as "partial 16S ribosomal RNA". It matches the Rfam family "Bacterial small subunit ribosomal RNA", at positions 524 to 776 of the family's 1533-position model. The record is from RNAcentral.
UACGUAGGGGGCAAGCGUUGUCCGGAUUUAUUGGGCGUAAAGAGCUCGUAGGCGGUUUGGUAAGUCUGGUGUGAAAUCUCCACGCUCAACGUGGAGGGGCCACCCGAUACUGCCAUGACUGGAGUCCGGUAGAGGAGUGUGGAAUUCCCGGUGUAGCGGUGAAAUGCGCAGAUAUCGGGAGGAACACCGGUGGCGAAGGCGGUUCUCUGGGCCUUACCUGACGCUGAGGAGCGAAAGCGUGGGGAGCGAACAGG